AUUGAACGCUGGCGGAAUGCUUUACACAUGCAAGUCGAGCGGCAGCGCGGGGGCAACCCUGGCGGCGAGCGGCGAACGGGUGAGUAACAUAUCGGAACGUACCCAGUCGUGGGGGAUAACUAUCCGAAAGGAUAGCUAAUACCGCAUACGUCCUGAGGGAGAAAGCGGGGGAUCGCAAGACCUCGCGCGAUUGGAGCGGCCGAUAUCGGAUUAGCUAGUUGGUGGGGUAAAGGCUCACCAAGGCGACGAUCCGUAGCGGGUCUGAGAGGACGACCCGCCACACUGGAACUGAGACACGGUCCAGACUCCUACGGGAGGCAGCAGUGGGGAAUUUUGGACAAUGGGGGCAACCCUGAUCCAGCCAUUCCGCGUGAGUGAAGAAGGCCUCGGUUGU
Molecule: ribosomal RNA, 394 nt
Filed under: uncultured bacterium
Lineage: Bacteria
Description: bacterial SSU rRNA
Rfam family: Bacterial small subunit ribosomal RNA
Source: RNAcentral